UACCUGGUUGAUCCUGCCAGUAGCAUAUGCUUGUCUCAAAGAUUAAGCCAUGCAAGUCUAAGUACAAGCCUCAUUAAGGUGAAACUGCGAAUGGCUCAUUAAAUCACACCUAAUCUACUGGAAUGUUAGCAGUUACUUGGAUAACUGAGGUAAUUCUUGAGCUAAUACAUGCGAAAAAUCUCGACUCACGAAGAGAUGCUUUUAUUAGAUCAAAACCAAACGGCUCACGCCGUUCCACUGGUGACUCUGAAUAACUUUGGGCUGAUCGCAUUGCCUUGUGCAGGCGACAUUUCCUUUGAAGGUGUGCCCUAUCAACUGUCGACUGUGAUAUAGACGCUCACAGUGGUUUUGACGGGUAACGGGGAAUCAGGGUUCGAUUCCGGAGAGGGAGCCUUAGAAACGGCUACCACAUCCAAGGAAGGCAGCAGGCACGCAAAUUACCCAAUGAUCAAAGAUCGAGGUAGUGACGAAAAAUAACGAUACUAGACUCUUCCGAGGCCUAGUAAUUGGAAUGAGUACAUUUUAAAACCCUUCCCGAGGAUCUAUUGGAGGGCAAGUCUGGUGCCAGCAGCCGCGGUAAUUCCAGCUCCAAUAGCGUAUAUUAAAGUUGUUGUGGUUAAAAAGCUCGUAGUUGGAUUUCGGCGGGUAGAAUCCGGUUCGGAUUGUUUCGAUACUGACUUUGUUACCCGUGUUUUGUGCCAGAAUUCAUCGGGUGCUCUUCACUGAGUGUCAGUUGGAGCUGGCAGGUUUACUUUGAAAAAAUUAGAGUGCUCAAAGCAAGCUUGAUGGCUUGAAUAUUCGUGCAUGGAAUAAUAGAAUAGGAAGUCGUUUCUAUUUUGUUGGUUUUCGGAAAUCGACUUAAUGAUUAAUAGGGACAGUCGGGGACAUUUGUAUUCAAACGACAGAGGUGAAAUUCUUGGACCGUUUGAGGACAAACUACUGCGAAAGCAAUUGUCAAGCUUGUUUUCAUUAAUCAAGAACGAAAGUUAGAGGUUCGAAGGCGAUUAGAUACCGCCCUAGUUCUAACCAUAAACGAUGCCAGCUAGCGAUCUGCCGGCGUUUCUAUUUCGACCUGGCAGGGAGCUUCCGGGAAACCAAAGCUAUCGGGUUCCAGGGGAAGUAUGGUUGCAAAGCUGAAACUUAAAGUAAUUGACGGAAGGGCACCACCAGGAAUGGAGCCUGUGGCUUAAUUUGACUCAACACGGGAAAACUCACCAGGCCAGGACACUGGAAGGAUUGACAGAUUGAUAGCUCUUUCUUGAUUCGGUGGUUGGUGGUGCAUGGCCGUUCUUAGUUGGUGGAGUGAUUUGUCUGGUUAAUUCCGAUAACGAACGAGACUCUGUCCUGCUAACUAGCUCCGCCCUUAUCAUUGGGGCGGAUAUUCUUCUUAGAGGGACUGGCGAUUACUAGUCGCACGAGAUUGAGCAAUAACAGGUCUGUGAUGCCCUUAGAUGAACUGGGCCGCACACGCGCUACACUGAAUCGAUCAGCUAGUUACUUCCUGCUCCGAGAGGAGCGGGUAAACUGUUGAACCCGAUUCGUGGUAGGGAUCGGAGCUUGCAAUUAUUCUCCGUGAACCAGGAACUCCCAGUAGGCGCGAGUCAUCAGCUUGCGUCGAUUACGUCCCUGCCCUUUGUACACACCGCCCGUCGCUACUACCGAUUGAGUGUUUUAGUGAGGUCCUUGGAUUGUUUGCCUGGCGGGUAACCUCGCCUAGCCGACGAGAAGACGACCGAACUGUAGCACUUAGAGGAAGUAAAAGUCGUAACAAGGUUUCCGUAGGUGAACCUGCGGAAGGAUCAUUA
Molecule: ribosomal RNA, 1805 nt
Filed under: Tortanus sp. New Caledonia-RJH-2004
Lineage: Eukaryota; Metazoa; Arthropoda; Copepoda; Calanoida; Tortanidae
Description: SSU rRNA
Rfam family: Eukaryotic small subunit ribosomal RNA
Source: RNAcentral